CAUUGCUAUCAGCAAGGUCGCUGCAAAUUUCGAAUUUCUAUCAUCUUUCAACACUUUUGGGACGGAUUGCUCUGGAUUAGGUCAACGAGCGGCAACAAUUCGAAAGCUGGACAUCAAAGGAAGCACCGAAGAUCGGUACCGAAUGCGUUUCAUACGCCAGAGCCGUCCCGAACGUGUCGACGAGUUUCCAGUGAAUUCCUUGCAACGAAAGCGUGGCGAUCUGCCCGAGAGCGAGGUGUCGCGAAGCCGCGAUAUUUCCCGCGACAAUAGAUCCGUGAAUCAGCGCGACGUGCCUCGAAUAUGGGUCUCGGAUAUUUCCUUUUACGGCGGAAGAACGCGCGCCGCUCCACCGUAAAGGCGCGAGAAUCAACGCGCGGCGGCCCGGUAAACUGACAUUCGUUACAUAAGCGCUACUCCCAUUAUCAGCGGCGACUUACGCCGCGGAGGCGGUCUGAUCGUAAUAGUUGUAUAAUAACGAGCGUUAUUACGUAAACAAAUGGAAUCCUGUUUUACAUUAGGCAGCGUCGAUUACGCGCGAGAUCGACGAUCGUCCCGACGACCAGGUCCGGAGCAUCGUUAAUUCGCACGGCGAAUCGAAGCUACCCCGUCAGCGAGAAUCGUUUAUUCGAUUAUUUGCAGAGUCGCUCGCGUUUACAGCCGCGAGAAACCUACGUCCUUAAUGGCGACGCGAACCAGGGACCAGAAUAGCGCGACAUUGACCCGGCUUCAGGGUCUGCGCGCUUUUGGAUACGAUUCAAAAUCCCGAUUCCGCGGUAACGUAAAUAACGAAGCUGGCAGCGCUCCGCGUUUGUUUUCCCGAGUUUUGAUCUUUCGAGAUCGAACGAAAGGGUGAAGAACGACACGUGCCGUCGGACGGAGACGCGGUGUCGUUCAAUGGAGCGAAACGAGCGAAACAAAAACGAAACGAAGCGGUGCUGACUAACGAAUGACACAUGCGAUCAAAGAGGAUCCGACUUGUCUUUUUUCCAUGGAUCCUCCGAACUUGGGCUGUUCGUGUGUCGCACUUACUCGGCUCGGCGAACGUGAAUCUGACUCUUUGCGGCGUUCUCUUCGGCGGCGGAGGGUACUCGGGGCAAACGGUGCGUUGUUCGCACAGGUAGCACUUUCUCUCGUAGAAGUACGAGGUGAUCGGUCUUCUGCUCAUCGUGCCGAGCGGAUGUCGUCCUAGCCGAAGCGAUAAAAGAUCGAGAGGCUGCCCUGCACGCGGUGCACGAGCGACUGAUACCGCGCGAUCGGCGGUAUUGCAGAGGUAAUAAUGCAAAAAUGUAAAUCGAUGCGUGCACGUGGGAGAAGAUCAGCCUUGAGGGACAAGUACGCGAAUCUUGACGCGAUUACCCGAACGGGUUGCUUGCCAAAAAGGUUAAUUAUACGGCGCCGUUUCCGCUCCCGAGUCACCGGGCGAUUAAGACGAAAGAUAUUUGGCCGCUUUCUGAUCGGCGUGUAAUCGCAAUGUGCCGAGACUUUUUCUUUUCAGACACGCCGCGGGUCGCGGUUAUGUCUCUUUUUAGGCAGCUUGAUACCCGCUACAGCGGCGAGGAACGCGAUAAACAAGGCACUUCGUUUGCGGUGCGCCGCGCGUAGGCGUAAAUUGCGAUUGAUUCGCUUCUUUGGCAAAUUGAAAUGGAUCGUAACACGUGCGUCAUGAGUUACGGCUGUCGGUCGUUAUAAUUCGCUCGAGCGAGCCCGCGCGAGGGGGGAUCUGCAAGGGGGGUAGACCGCGUUUAUGCCGCGAUAAAUCUCUAGAUCUCGGGCGGGAAAAGAGACGAAAUUACGGAGCGGCGAAGCCGAAUAGAAAGCCGGCCGAACUCGUUCUCCUCGGGUUGGAUUUACGUGUGGGUCGAGUUCCGCCGAUUCUCACGAUCCGCUAGCUGUGAAAAACGCCGCAGUCGCUUUAACGGUGCCCUCAGGUUUUCCUAGCCGAGACUAUAGCCUCUCCUCGGGUUGCUAUCCAACCCUAAAAGAUGAAAGUUUCAUUAGGUACGCGGCUGUUUCGAACGGGAAACUAGCUACUUUUGACAGCGAGCAGCCCGAUCGCGACGCGCGGCAACGUUAAUUCGGUCCUCUAAGCCGAAGAAUUCGGUUCCGCGUGAUUCGUUAGCGGUGGCAUUUCUGCAACAGAAUGUUUGUUGUCGUUGCGCGUGCGACCGCGUGGGCGGCCGCCUCGAGCAGUCCCGUGUCCUCUCGAGGCGCCUUCAGCUGCCUUUGCGGGACAGCAUCGUGGAAUGUUAAACUUGACCUACAGAUCGAGUCGCAUGCAAAUAAAAGUAGGCGAUCGUGGAGGGACUGCUUCCGUUCGGCUGCUUCGCCGAGCUCAGAGACGUUUGCUCGCCGAGCCGUAACAAGAUCGGCGCUCGUGUUCGCGGUUUCCGCGGGAUAUCGUUGCGGGUUUGCGGGUUUCCCGCAAAACCAAAGAAAAUCGGAGAGAUACAUGGAAAGUCAUUGAAAUCUCGGGGAAAGAUUCACGGGGGAAUCGUGUGGUCGAGAUUUAUUUCGCAUUUUCGUUGCUCGCGAAAGCGUGACACGGUCAAAAUCACUGCUCCACGAACAAGGGACUGUCCCUCAUGUCGGCGUACAUCUCCCGCAGCUUUCCAGGCGUGCAGUAGACGGGUGCAUCCUCCUCGCAGAACUGCAGGAACUCCAGCAGGUUAUCCUCCAGCUCCUGGUGGUACACCGAGCCGGCGAACUUUGCAACGAUCCGAGCACGAUCCUUCUCCGACAUCUGGAUAUUGCGAUCGAUCCUGAAGUUGGAUCAUCUGGUAGACCUCGAAGUCCUGAAACGGUACUCGAACCUUUGCGUUAUCGACGCAAGGGUUGACCUAUCGGAUGCUAGAAUACCUUUCGGGCGAAACAAGUGAUCGAUUCCACGGUGUCGUAGCGACUUAGUCGCAGACGGAAGUAGCCGAUCUCGGAGUCGCAGCUGCCAGUGACCAUUUCGAUGCCCUGAACGCAAUCGUGCACGUGACGAAGAAAUCACGGAAGGCCGCCCGAUCGAGAAAACUCACGGAAGUGUCGUGCAGAUGAGAAGCUUUGUUCUUCACCAUCUUGCCAGAAUCUGUGCUGCCAGGACUCCGCGUAAAACUUGCGGCUGUACUUGGUGCUGGUCCCGGCGGCGAAUACGAACGGGUCGUUGGUCCGGAACUCGGGGUCUAUCACCAGCUGGCCGUCGAACAUCAAUCCAGCCCUGCAGAACGCUGGAACGCGUCGACGGAAACGCGGUCGCGUUUAAUAAUUAAAUCACCGGCGGACAGGCGGGUAUACGAAAAUGGUUCCGAUUACCCAAAAAUAUCUUCUGGUCAAUUGUCUUCUCGUGAAAAGCAACCAGAGCGUCGCAUUGCACUAUCUUCGUGUUGUCUUUCAACUGCAGGACCAGCGCCUCUAUCGUCUUCCCCUCGGCGGAGUCUCUCAGGUACCAAUCGAUCAGCUCCCACUCCCGAAGAAGCGUCACGCCGCUGUCCAUGAUCCCAGCCAUCGCUACGGCGUGCACCUUGAACGCGAGUCGGGGUCAACAGCUUCGACAAAACCGAUCGUGUCCUCGCGCUUCGAUUUUGUACCUCGCACUCGUCGUAGAAGACGCUCUGGUGAGAAUCGCACGGGUGCAUCGGAGGCUCGAUCAAAUAGAUCCAAGAGCCGUUCAGCCCGCACUCGAGGAGGCCCUGGAUAGCGCAGUAACAAUCGAUGCUGCGCCCGUAGAGGACGAUCUUCUCUGGAAGAGUUCGUAAGGCUCGUCCUUGUUCACCGGUGACGCAGAAUCGAGACAGAGUUACGUCGAGACAGGGAGACAGGCCUUACUUUUCUCCUCGAAGUUGCUGGUCAACGAGCGAAUCUUUUCAAGACAGGUGGCAGCUUGCACGUCGUCGUUGACGGUCAGGCAGUUCCAGGGUUGCUCUUGCUCCGUCCACUCCCUGUCCGCGAGAAAGAUAUAUCCGUCUCGAUUCGAAGGCUGUCUGCGACCAUUAUCCCCUAUUACCCUCUUUUCUGCUUCUCCAGCUCGCUCGAGAACUGCGGCUUCUGGAACUGCAGGCCGCAGGUCACCACCAAGUAGUCGUACGCGAUCUGUCCCUGAUGCAGCACCGUCACGUUCUUCUCCUUCCUGCCGAUCGCGCGGACAUUACGAGGCCAGUCGCAACGAAGACGCGUCGUUCCUGCUUAGAUGAGAAGGCUGUAUUUACCUGUCGAUCGCGACAACGCUGCCGUAGACAACGUUGAUCCAGGCCCGCGCCGCGACCGUCCGACGGUGCUCGUGGCAGUAGCGGCCGCGAAACGGAAUCAUGCCGGCGACCUCGGAAGUCCGUUCGUUUUCGUAAGGCAGCCCGCGCGGCGAUAUCAACGUGAUGUCCGCGUACCGCGUCGAAUCGUACGGGGUCCUGGAAACUUUCGGAUUUCCCCGAUUUCUCGGUUCUCGCGGUUUCGCUGCGUUUUCUUUACCCGAACGCUAUAUGCUCCAGAAAAGCCACGCCGCAGUCCGAGGCCCCGAUCACCACGAUCUUCGUGUCGAAUACCAAACUGAAGCCGCUCAUCAUCCUCGGCGUUGUCAUGAACAGCGAGAACGGCUCGCUUUCGGUUCGAGGCUGGUCGGUCUCCGCGAGACCGCGGAACCUGUACUCGAGCCUUCUUCGAGGCUGCACGUGGACCAUCGAGCUCAAGCAGAUCGGCAAAGGCUGCGAGCGCGUCUAGAAUCGCGCAACAUUUCGAGUUAAUACUCUACGAAACUAAAUCUACGAAAGUAAACCGUUUCGAAAGCUUGCACGAAGAAUGUUUCGAGGAACGGUUCCGUACCAGAGCGCUCGUCGCGUUUUUCGUCAGGCGAUAGUAGAAAACGAUCAGCCCGCUUAUGCGGCUCAUUUCGCAGACGAAGUGGCGCAUGUGAACGUCGAAGAUCGGCACCAGAACGAAGUGCAGGAUGCAACCGUACGCAUCCCGAGGCACGUCCUUCACGGAGAUGUAAUCUUCCACGUGGAAACGCCUCCUGAUGUAUGUCACGUCCUUCUCGGCGCUGAUCGUGCAAUAUUCGCCAAGACUUUCGAUUAACCCCCGCAUAGCGACGCUGGAGCGGUUCUACGUCUGUUGGUUGGUUUCCUAGACCAUCGCGAGGUUUCUGGCUUGUUCGCGAUCGCUUACCCUUCUUUUCAGGGGUCACAGCGGGGUCAGUGACCACGGGUCUAGCGAUCGGAACCGUCCGAUCGCCGCUGUACGCGAUCAACCAGCAGGCGCGACGACGUUCGUCCGAGCAAAGGAUCCUUCAAGAUUACAUACCGGAAGAUUGUCAGACCGACGAGUUCACCGUUCCACGCGAAUACGUAGCAGAAAAGGCCCGAUUUCGGCUUAACCGCGUCGUCGAAGUCGUCCAAAAUCUUCUGCGCUUUCGGAAUGUUCCGCAACAACUUCCAAAGACCGUCCCGAUCCUGAGGAGCAGCCUGGCGCAUCUCGAUGUUUCCCAGGAGAGAGGCGCGAUGCAUCACGUACAGUGCCAUCGGAAAAUCUCGGUUACACCUGGCCGGUACUCGCUGAAUUUGAUGCGCUCGUUUUACGAAACGAUCGUCAGUGGUCGCAAAGGUGGCCGGGUGCUCGAGAUUUCGGGUUAAAAUCGCGUCGGAUAUUUUCUUCGGGUUCGGGUCGGGACCCGAAACUUUUCGGUACCCGGAAAAUUCGGGUACCCGAAUUUGAAAUCGAGCCCCGAGAAUUUUCGGUACUCGAAAUCCUAAAAGCGGAUUGGGGAGUGUUUAUAAAUCCGGAAAUACGUGGUGUCCCAUAAUUAUGUUAACACAUUAAAGGCGGGGGAUCUUGACGAAAGUAUGCUAGGUAACGC
Molecule: non-coding RNA, 5827 nt
Organism: Megalopta genalis
Lineage: Eukaryota; Metazoa; Arthropoda; Insecta; Hymenoptera; Halictidae
Source: RefSeq, a predicted model, not a curated record